Helianthus annuus (common sunflower) is the source of this 1054-nucleotide long non-coding RNA. RefSeq lists it as uncharacterized. The transcript is spliced from 5 exons. Lineage: Eukaryota; Viridiplantae; Streptophyta; Magnoliopsida; Asterales; Asteraceae. The record is from RefSeq and is a predicted model, not a curated record.
AAAUAUUUAUUGGUUGUUACAUAUAUGUUUUAAAUCAUUAAAAUUAAAUUUUAAGCUUAUAUGUUUUUUCUUUCGAUUCAUAGGAAAUACCGUAUGAUUUUGCAACCUUAUUGUGACAGAAUUGAUGGAGUGAUAUAAGAAGGUUUCUUUGUUAAUUGAUUAUUCUCUUCCGCUUACAGGGGAUGGCGCUAAGAAUAAGUGCUUUGAUGAACUAAUAGGUGUUUGGAUUUUGUGUUUACUUUGCUCUGCAUAGGGCUCCUUCAGUUUUUUGUAUUCUUUUACUUCGCUCAGUAAUUCUUCUAUUUUCAAGAUAAGAAUACAGGCUGCAUCUGCAUUGGCUACCCUACCAACAAUAGUGGGUGAAUCGAUAUGGAUCCCAUGAACAACAGUCCUUCAUUUUUAAAGCUUAUUGAGGAAGAUGACCUGAUAUUUUUGCAAAUACCUAAUGACUUUGCUUCAAUGAUUUAUGAUUUGGGGAGACCAACCACCUUACAAAGAUUCAGUUAAGAUUGUUGAUGGCAACAAGUUAUGGUUUGUAAGACUAAAAAAAACUGAUGUUGGCCCUGUUCUUGCUGAUGGCUUCACCAAAGUUGUUCGGGAUAGUUGUAUAAGAAAAAAUAACUAUCUUAUGUUUCAGUCAUUUGGACAAUCAUCAUUCUUUCUAAUGGUGUUUAAAUCAUUUGUUCAUCAAUACUGCUUUAUAUCCAAAAUCACACCUGACGAAGACGUUAUUGUCAUGGCUGAUGAAUUUUGGAGGCAAUUUUAUGGGAAAAUUUUCAAAGGUGGUCAAUCAACUCUUUAUUUAGGAGAUAGAUUUUGGAACGUUAAGAUGGACGGAUUAACUGACAACUGUGUUUUUACUCAUAGAUGUUCUGAGAUGGUAAACGAUCUUGCCUUAGACAGGCGAUCUAUCUUUGUCUUUUCAAUGGUUGGAAAUAAAAUUUUCGAGCUUUCAGUCUUUAAUCAUCAAACCAGUACUCAAAUUCACCCGCGAACUUCGCGGGUCUGAAAAUUUAAUCUGCAUUUGAAAAUGCCUCAAUCUUAAGCUUCAAGA